RNAcentral lists this long non-coding RNA (1060 nucleotides) under Cricetulus griseus (Chinese hamster). RNAcentral's name for it is "lncRNA (ENSCGRG00015032051.1)". The record is from RNAcentral. Lineage: Eukaryota; Metazoa; Chordata; Mammalia; Rodentia; Cricetidae.
UCAACUUCCUGCUUACAUCGGACACCACAUUAUCUUUAGACUAAUGAAUUGACAGAAGCAGAGCCAGCAAGGUGUAGGCUUUCUUUCAGUGUUGCUCUUCCUGGAGUUCCUACUAAUGGUAUCACAUUCAUGUACCAUGUAUUUAACAUGUUUGCUAUUACCCCAGAAACUGCACAGGUCUGUGUGCAUCCAGAAUUGUGCGUGGAAUCUGAACCAAUAAGAAGAGCGAUCUCAUUUCCACCAAUGGAACAAAUUCUGAGGAAAUCUUGGAGAUCUUCAGAGGUGCUGAUUCAAUUCUCCUCCCAAUUAAAUGUGUGCUGCCACAGAAACAACCAUACAGAAAAUGGAUUGCAGAAAAUAAUAUAAUUGAUCCUAGGCCCUAAAUACCAUUAAAAAAGAGAAAAGAAAACAUCCUGCAGUAAAUAGGUGUGAACAUAUAUCUAGCUCUUUGGGCCUAUAUCCAGUAUAUCUACAUGAAAUCUUCCCUAUCUGCCUCCGGAUUGCUGCCUGUGAUUCUGUGCUGCCAAUUACAGCAGGCUUGUAAAGUUUACUGUUUUCAUGUCAGGUUCCCCAACUGCACUUAUGUGGGGAAUCUGACACUGAAAUUCACAGGGUCUCUUGUGGCUGCCUUUGAGUAAUUGCAAGUAGUAGAGAGAAAAUAAUGGUCACUGGGUUGUUUCCCUUUACCAAGUUUUCUUUAUCUCAUCCAAAUAAUCUGAGUCACUGUGUUUUACUCUGUGAAAUUGUGUUGCUCAGCUCUUUUCAUGUCAACAAAUAGGAAGAGUAGCUUGACUAAGUAAUGGGGCCUUCAGGGAACUUUUGAAGAAAACAUGUUUGAUAUAAUAUUGCAGGAUACAAAAUACCAAUUUUAGAAGCAGAUAUAUUCUGAGUUCUAAUUGUACAUGGGAAUUUCAGGCAUAUACUUUCAAUAUUUUUGCUUCAGAAAAACUUACCACAGUCUCUUAUACUGUCCAUAAACUUUGCAGUUGACUCAGUGAUACCUUCUGUAUCACAGACAACUGCUCUCCUUCUAUUCAGUAUCAAAUAAAAUAUAAUCCUG